RNAcentral lists this unclassified non-coding RNA (387 nucleotides) under Hevea brasiliensis (rubber tree). Lineage: Eukaryota; Viridiplantae; Streptophyta; Magnoliopsida; Malpighiales; Euphorbiaceae. The record is from RNAcentral.
AUUAGGACAGAUUUAGUGAGAGUAAUACGAUCAGCCAAAGAUAAGUUCUUCGCAGUCUAUCCAGAUAAUCUACCAUGAAUCUUAUUUUCAUGGUUCCUCCUCGACCCUAGCAUGCAACAAUGGCACUCUAAGAUACUUACCGAGGUCCAUUGUAGCCUUAAAAUCGCACAAGAUAUUGAUGUCCUCUACAGUCGUAGGAGCAACAUUUCUUGAGCAAUAGAUAAGAGUCUUAGCAACACUUAACUUUCUGCCCUGAAGAAGAGGCAAAUUGAGAACAGACAUUAAGAACCACCUCCAUCUGACUAACUGAUGCUUCGGCAAAAAGCAAGAGAUCAUCUGCAAAAAAGAGGUGGGAUAAAGGAGGUCUUCCUUGGGACAGCCAAAUGG